This 253-nucleotide ribosomal RNA is filed under the name uncultured bacterium. RNAcentral describes it as "partial 16S ribosomal RNA". It matches the Rfam family "Bacterial small subunit ribosomal RNA", at positions 524 to 776 of the family's 1533-position model. The record is from RNAcentral.
UACGUAGGGGGCAAGCGUUGUCCGGAUUUAUUGGGCGUAAAGAGCGUGUAGGCGGUCAGGUAGGUCCGGUGUGAAAACUCGAGGCUCAACCUCGAGACGCCGAUGGAAACCAUCUGACUAGAGUCCGGAAGAGGAGAGUGGAAUUCCUGGUGUAGCGGUGAAAUGCGCAGAUAUCAGGAAGAACACCCGUGGCUAAGGCGGCUCUCUAGUACGGUACUGACGCUGAGGCGCGAAAGCGUGGGGAGCAAACAGG